GACGAACGCUGGCGGCGUGCUUAACACAUGCAAGUCGUGCGGUAAGGCCCUUUCGGGGGUACACGAGCGGCGACCGGGUGAGUAACACGUGAGCAACCUGCCCUUCCCUCUGGGAUAACUGCCGGAAACGGUGGCUAAUACCGGAUAUGACUUCCUCACGCAUGUGGGGUGGUGGAAAGCCUUCGGGUGGUGGGGGAUGGGCUCGCGGUCUAUCAGCUUGUUGGUGGGGUGAUGGUCUACCAAGGCUUCGACGGGUAGCCGGCACGGGAGGGUGACCGGCGACACUGGGACUGAGAGAGGGAGCAGACGGGUACGGGAGGCAGCAGUGGGGAAUAUUGGACAAUGGGCGAGAGCCUGAUCCAGCAACGCCGCGUGAGGGAUGACGGCCUUCGGGUUGUAAACCUCUUUCGCCUGCGACGAAGCGAGAGUGACGGUAGCAGGUAAAGAAGCACCGGCCAACUACGUG
This 466-nucleotide ribosomal RNA is filed under the name uncultured bacterium. RNAcentral describes it as "partial 16S ribosomal RNA". It matches the Rfam family "Bacterial small subunit ribosomal RNA", at positions 28 to 507 of the family's 1533-position model. The record is from RNAcentral.